GGCUCCUUCGGCCGUCCGUCCUCUCCUGAUGGGGUCUUGACAAUAGGUUCUAAAAGAAGGAAUUUCGCAAACAAAAGUUGAUGCUUAUAGUUUGCUAAAUCAGCUGAUGCUUUUGUAUCUUAUGUUGAUUUCAGUCCAUUUCAUCCUUUGUGAGAAGACUGGAGGAGGGAAAGAGCUCCAGUCCAUCAGUUCCAUCUUUAGGUACUUCUAUGUUGCCAAACCGCGGAGCAACUUUUUCGGGUGGAAGUGCAUCAGAGACACCUUCUCAACGUGAUGCAUGGCUCCGUUGGCGCGACGGAGUGAUGACACUGCCUCUUGCCUGGCCGUGUAGCCUCCGCCGACUUUUUAUCCGCCGAUGCUACCAUGUCCAUCCCUAUGUCGCCUCACCUUCUUACGUCCACAAUCUGACAGAAGUCAAGGCCACCGCGCCUCUGAUCCAGCAUCUAUUUUUUUGUACUGUGCUUGUGACCAUAGUGUAAAAGUUUAAUUUUUAUUCGAAUUACUAUGAUCGUCCAUAGCCUUGCUGUGUAAAUUGCAUUUUUGGUUGUAGAAUUAUCCCUGCCUGCCAAACAGAUGAAUAAAUGGAGAGUAUUGGUG
Lolium rigidum is the source of this 597-nucleotide long non-coding RNA. RefSeq lists it as uncharacterized. The transcript has 3 exons. The record is from RefSeq and is a predicted model, not a curated record. NCBI's taxonomy places the organism in Eukaryota, Viridiplantae, Streptophyta, Magnoliopsida, Poales, Poaceae.